UAGUCAUAUGCUUGUCUCAAAGAUUAAGCCAUGCAUGUGUAAGUAUAAACAACUUGUACUUGUGAAACUGCGAAUGGCUCAUUAAAUCAGUUAUCAUUUAAGUGAUGUUACCUUUUUUACUACUUGGAUAACCGUAGUAACAUAGAGCUAAUACAUGCAAAUACUCCUGACAGUAAUGAAGGGAGGCACUUAUUAGAUUAUAAACCAAUCUGUGUAAAAAGCAGUAAAUGGUGAUUCAUAGUAAGGUUGGAAAUCGUUUAUUCGUUAAACGAUAUAU
RNAcentral lists this ribosomal RNA (277 nucleotides) under uncultured eukaryote. RNAcentral's name for it is "partial 18S ribosomal RNA". It matches the Rfam family "Eukaryotic small subunit ribosomal RNA", at positions 21 to 295 of the family's 1831-position model. The record is from RNAcentral.